UACAAUUUUCAUGCAUUGGCUUCGCUGUUCGUGCAUGUUUGUUGUUCUUCUUAUAACAUUCUUCAUGUAAUGCACCAAUAACCACCAUAUGUAUAUGUCCGUAAGUCGUACAACCUAACAACACUUCCGCCAUGGGCUCAAAUCUACAAUGGACCGAACUUGUGACUCUUUAACAUACUGGGCACACAAACCAAUCACUGAUAGUAAAACUCAGGAAGUAGCUUGGACAAACCCACUACAAACUCAACUUCGAAAAAAGUCCUGCAAUCCUGUUGAGUGUGCAAUAUGGGAUCUUGAGGCAGUAUGGACAUGCUAUACAUAUUAAAAUAUCGUGUAUUCAAAAGUUGCUGAACGAUUUUUUUCUUCUAAAUCGUACAAUAAGUGGAAUAACACUGUGAAGAUGCCCCUAUUGAAGCGCUCAUGCGUGUGCGAGUGUUAUUGAUUUCCUCUGUAACCAUAACCAUAUUGUCCCCUGUUUCCCAUAGGCCCAUUUUGUUCAUAUGAAAAAUGUACGCUUAAGCAUUUGACCAUUCUAGCAAAUACCUUUGCGAAUUGUGUUUCAAUAAUGUAAUUAACAUAACUUUUACCAGAAUCAGAAAGCAACGAAUCAUGAAUGAAUGUUCCUGUCCCUGAAUAAACCAGUUAUCAAGAAGCACAAGUGGGCGAGAAGGUAAGCUCGAGAAGGUGUUGCUUGUGCUCCACAAGCAUUUGUGUGGCCAUCUGCUUACGUUUGCUAAUCUUGAUUCUCGUACGAGUCAAUUGUACGCUACAGAUAAGAAACAGAAGUUGUGUAGACAAGACUUAAUUAAAAGGCUGCAUUUCCUUUCCAGCAAACGACCGCUACAACCGAUUUCCGGCCAGCAACCCCACUGAUACUGGUGCGCGACCGCGCUCACAUACCUGCCCGUUCCUUAUCGUGUUAUUAUCAUUGCCGAUGAUGAAGUUGACACAAAGGCCCAUGCAGCUGUGUGGCACCGUGACACCGGGCACGCGUAGGAAGGUAGUGGGUUCGUUUCGUUGUUGCUAUUGUUGUUGUUGGUGGUGGUGCUGUUGGUGCUGCUGAUGUUGUUGUAGUUGUUUCUUCAAGUACACCUUCACUCUUGGAUUCAUUUAUACCGCGAGCAAUCCACUUUUGUGAUAAACGAAAAGUGUCACAGCAGCAAGCAGGUGUAACUGGCCGUUGUUGUAGGUGCCAGUUGAUACUACUAAAUGUCUCAAAUGAACAAAUCAUCGGAUCGGAGCAUCGGACACUGUGCAGCAUAUCGAAAGUGGCAAUACAAAGAGCAUACACCUAUCGGAACGGACCUGCAAAAGCGUCACACAGCAGCAAAGCGGUGCAUAUUUGCGCGAUUAUAACGACAGUUAGAACCGAAACCGAAUCCUCUAGCCCAUACGCCGCGUAAACGAAGUACAUCCUCAUUAUGCUUCGUUGUGACAAUGACGUGAUGACGUCCUCGUUUCUUCACAUUGCGCCCGUGCGCGGUCGCUCCACGCUGAAAGCUGAAGCUGCCCGGUGUAUGAUUGAACGUCCACCGGUUCUGCACGAGCUCGAGAACGGGCCUGUCCACACACAACACACACAUUUGCAUGCCGACUGUCGAUCGAGAGCAUCCUGUGUGUGUGUGUGUGUGAGUUGAAACAAUUUUGGUAACGGUCGUCAUAUGCCAAUUUUUAUGCGAUCGUACACCACAUUACAAGCAUUUUCCAUUAAGCCAUGUUUCACUAAUAAAAUAAUUAAUUUUAUAAACUACA
Anopheles coluzzii is the source of this 1752-nucleotide long non-coding RNA. RefSeq lists it as uncharacterized. NCBI's taxonomy places the organism in Eukaryota, Metazoa, Arthropoda, Insecta, Diptera, Culicidae. The transcript is spliced from 2 exons. The record is from RefSeq and is a predicted model, not a curated record.